AACUUUUGACAAUGGAUCUCGCAUCGAUGAAGAACGCAGCGAAAUGCGAUAAGUAAUGUGAAUUGCAGAAUUCAGUGAAUCAUCGAAUCUUUGAACGCAUCUUGCGCUCCUUGGUAUUCCGAGGAGCAUGCCUGUUUGAGUGUCAUUAAAUUCUGUCAAAACAUGCACUUGAGUGUGUUUUUGCUUGUGGGCGUUUCAGCAGGCUUUUUUAUGAUUAUUUAAUACCAGCUCUCGUGAGCGACAUCAGCAUUCGGGCGAUGUGGCUAGUCACUUCUGCCAUUCUAUUGACAUGAUAGAUGAAUAACCUUAUCGACGCCAGGAGAGCAGAUUGCAGGUGAAAGCAUUGUGAUCUCUCCGCUCUCUUGCUAUCAUCUGUCUGUUACGUAGACCUCAACGCAGCUAAGACAAGCCACAGCAAAGUGGACAAUUAAUAAGAGUAGCCU
This 443-nucleotide unclassified non-coding RNA is filed under the name uncultured Amanita. Its description in RNAcentral is "sequence contains ITS2". The stretch from base 1 to 145 matches the Rfam family "5.8S ribosomal RNA". Lineage: Eukaryota; Fungi; Basidiomycota; Agaricomycetes; Agaricales; Amanitaceae. The record is from RNAcentral.